RNAcentral lists this transfer RNA (73 nucleotides) under Candidatus Zambryskiibacteriota bacterium. RNAcentral describes it as "Candidatus Zambryskibacteria bacterium tRNA-Val". It matches the Rfam family "tRNA". Rfam says of the family: Transfer RNA (tRNA) molecules are approximately 80 nucleotides in length. The record is from RNAcentral. Lineage: Bacteria; Candidatus Zambryskiibacteriota.
GCGCGGUUAGCUCAAUUGGUAGAGCGCCACAUUGACGUUGUGGAUGUUGCAAGUUCAAGUCUUGCACCGCGCA